AGAGAGUGAGCUGGGUGUGGUAGAACAGGUUGGGUAGAAGAUGUCCCCUGACCCAUGUCUAUGUUAUGUUAUGUUAUGUUCGGCUAUGCUAGGAAUAGCAGACCAUGAGGAAAAGAAAUGGAUUUGUGUGGACUCUCCUGCUUUUAGCUGUGGACUUCCCCAGUUUAAUCCCCAGUGUGUCAGCCAAGAUGGCAGCUGUUACACUGUCAUUCACAAGCAGGUGCUGAGCUCUUGGGGGAUGAAGGAUGUGCUGCUGGCCAACACAGAGAUCAACCUGUAUGCCACCAACAUCCCAACCGCCUGGAACUAACGUCAGUCAAGGAAAGCAAACUGUAUUCUGUUUAGCCUCAUACAUCAACAGAACUGUUGAAUGCAUUGCUGGUGAAGAUGAAAGAAGCAGAAAGAACCCAAUUUGAAUCUCAGAGUUAAGCAAGGAUGACCAGAACUCCAUGAUGCUGAGAGAUCAGUCCUGUCCUUUCCUUGGUGCAAUUACAUGACCACUUUAGGCUCUCAGGCGUGUGAGGAGGGAGAAGAAAAACAAGAUGUGCAAGGAUGUAAGUCAGGCUAUAACCAUGAACACCUAGUCAAUGCCAUCAAACAGCUGUCAAAGGAGAUGCUACCAUCUUCCUUGCUGUUGAAAGGCAACCCAAGAGCCCCUGAAGACACAGUGUCUGGGACAUGUAGGUGAGAAUUCUUCAAUCUGUUCUUCAAAUCUCAAUCAUCUAGAUGUUUGCCUACAGAAAGGGCAACAGCAAUUCAUUGUAUUAAAUAUAAAUGAAUACAGUAGAAAUUCUUCCCUGGAUAUUCUAGAUACAUCACUGUUAUUGCCCAUCUCAGAAGGCUCAUUGGGUGAUGACUUGCCAUCUCCUCUUUUAUUGUCCAGUUCAUGAGUUAAUCCUUCUGGCUGCUGUAUGAAGCUGUAGGCAAUUAAUAAUAAUUCAUCACUGUUUGCUGAAAGCAUAUUGUGUUGUGUGAAAGAGAUGUAAUCUCAAAAUAUAUGAGGUGAAGCAAGGAGUGGAAUUUGAGUGUUAUUGCACUGGGGUUUUAUUAAUAGGUUAGUGACUGUAGAAAUAACAACAACAAAAUCUAUGUGUAUAAUUUGAAGGCAAACUCUCCCCUCUACUAAUCCAGCCUUUCAGACCUGCCGUAAACAAUUGCAUUUCAAGGGAAAGUUGCUGAGAAAAACA
Long non-coding RNA from Mauremys mutica (yellowpond turtle), 1187 nucleotides. RefSeq lists it as uncharacterized. The record is from RefSeq and is a predicted model, not a curated record. The transcript has 5 exons. Lineage: Eukaryota; Metazoa; Chordata; Testudines; Geoemydidae.